CACUCGAGGCUAUACAUAUCGGCCCCUGUCUCUUCACCUUCAAGUGAGCGGUACUACCCAAACACUUACCCAAGCACAGAAAUGGCUGCGUUCGAUGAGUCGCCGAUGGUGCGGCCGACGGUGCAGGAGCUGGCGGCGGCCGGCGUCGAGGAACCGCCGCGACAGUACGUGCUGCCGGAGCAAGACCGUCACGGCGACCUGCUGGCCGCCGACGAGUUUCCGGAGCCCAUCCCCCUCGUCGAUCUUAGCCGGCUCACGGACGCCGACGAAGCCGAGAGGCUCCGGGCGGCUCUGCAGACCUGGGGCUUCUUCCUGGCCACCAACCAUGGGAUCGAGGAGUCUCUAAUGGACGCCAUGAUGAGCGUGUCGAGGGAGUUCUUCCGGCAGCCGGCAGAGGAGAAGCAGAAGUGCAGCAAUCUGGCGGACGGCAACGGCAAGGACUACCAGGUGGAAGGGUAUGGAAGUGACAAGGUGGUGUCCGAGGAUCAGGUCCUCAACUGGAGUGACCGGUUGCAAUUGGAAGUGGAUCCAGAAGAUGAGAGGAAUCUCGCUAAGUGGCGCCGUCACCCGGAAUCUUUCAGAGUUUUUCUACAGGGAUGUGCACAAGAGUACGCAUCAAGAACCAAGAAAAUAAGAGACCUCGUCUUGCGAUCGAUAGCCAAGCUCUUGGAGAUUGAGGAGGACUACUUUGUCAACCAGAUAUCAAACAAAGCUUCCGGGUUUGCUAGAUUCAACUACUACCCUCCAUGCCCGAGGCCUGACCUAGUUUUGGGCCUCAUGCCUCACUCCGACAGUGGUCUCCUUACCAUCCUUUUCAACAAUGACAACGUCGGUGGCUUGCAAGUUCAAAGAGAUGGGAGAUGGUACAAUGUUCCGACCAAGCCUCACACAUUGCUGAUUAACCUAGCAGACUGACUAGAAAUAAUGAACAUUGGAAUCUUUACAAGCCCAGUUCACAGAGUGGUGACAAACAUCGAGAAGGAUAGGCUUCUUGGCUGUGUUUUACGUCGUGGAUGCGGAAACUAUGCUAGAGCCAGUGCCCGGUUUGCUGGAUGACAAGCGACCGCCAAGAUAUAGGAAAAUGUUGGCCAAGGAUUUCGUGGUCGGGCUCUUUGAACAUUUCCGUGAAGGGAAGAGAUUCAUCAACACCCUGAAAAUUUAGGUUCACCGUUUAUUAUGGAGCUGUAGUAGUGAUUACCUAUGAAGAAUAAAGAGAUGGUUUUAUCUGUUGUGUGAA
This is an RNA transcript of Triticum aestivum (bread wheat), 1237 nucleotides long. It is a transcript of the gene named protein SRG1-like, with no coding region annotated. The record is from RefSeq and is a predicted model, not a curated record. NCBI's taxonomy places the organism in Eukaryota, Viridiplantae, Streptophyta, Magnoliopsida, Poales, Poaceae. The transcript is spliced from 4 exons.